RNAcentral lists this ribosomal RNA (447 nucleotides) under uncultured bacterium. Its description in RNAcentral is "SSU rRNA". It matches the Rfam family "Bacterial small subunit ribosomal RNA", at positions 26 to 518 of the family's 1533-position model. The record is from RNAcentral.
AGAGCGGACGCUGGCGGCAGGCUUAACACAUGCAAGUCGAGCGGGCGUAGCAAUACGUCAGCGGCAGACGGGUGAGUAACGCGUGGGAACAUACCUUUUGGUUCGGAACAACACAGGGAAACUUGUGCUAAUACCGGAUAAGCCCUUACGGGGAAAGAUUUAUCGCCGAAAGAUUGGCCCGCGUCUGAUUAGCUAGUUGGUGAGGUAACGGCUCACCAAGGCGACGAUCAGUAGCUGGUCUGAGAGGAUGAUCAGCCACAUUGGGACUGAGACACGGCCCAAACUCCUACGGGAGGCAGCAGUGGGAAUAUUGGACAAUGGGCGCAAGCCUGAUCCAGCCAUGCCGCGUGAGUGAUGAAGGCCCUAGGGUUGUAAAGCUCUUUUGUGCGGGAAGAUAAUGACGGUACCGCAAGAAUAAGCCCCGGCUAACUUCGCGCCAGCAGCCGC